UCCUGGCCCGACGGUGACGGAGGGCUUUGAUGAGGCCCGGCGGCCGCGUGCUUGCCAGGAAGGCCCGGGGCUUGAGGCCCUGGAAGGCCUGGCCCGUUCAGGAGUCCCGGCUGUUUGGGGGAAUGUCCCACGCCCUGUGGGGAUUUGAGCCGUGUCUCCCGGCCGACUUGGGUGUCCCGGUUGGUGUGUGGUCGGGCCUGGGGGCUUGGUGCGGGCGGGAACCGCGGGUAGCGACCACGUCUCGUCAGGGGGUUCGUGCCUGCUGCUGGGCACGGGAACGGCUCCGGGGGGGUCUUACGGGCGCUGAGGGGAUUCCGCAUCAUGGAGAGGUCAAGGGGAGUUGGUGGCCGUCACCCUUCGUCAGGGCAGGGUAGCAUCAGUGCUCCCGUGCUGGGGUUCCUGGAGAGCCGGCUGGCACGGACAGACUCUUGUGAGGGCAAGUGGCUGAUCGUGCGUCGGAUGGGUCCAGCAAAGGAGAGAAAGCUUCGGGUGCGCGCGCUCGCCAGGGAAAGGGUGACAGCGGGUGGGACCGAGAGGGAGAGAGAGAGAGAGAGAAAAAGGAAGAGAGAGGGUUUCCGCAGGGGCGGUGAGUCCUGGCGGAAGUCCUGAGGCAGAGGAGGUGCCAGGGGUUUGGGUUUCCCGGUCGUGUCGGGGGUGUGGCGCAGGUUGCCCCAGUGGGCCUGAAUGUGCCUCCGUGGGGCACCUUGUUGCCGUGUUGGGGGGCGGGGAGCCGGCCUUGGGGAUCCAUCUUUCGGGCCCUGGGACGUGGGAGAAGAAUGCCGGGCCUCUCUCUGUGCCCCUGGCGCCUCUGUGCAGGCCGGGCCUGCACCACCCCCCCGCGCCCGUCCCCAGGCAGGGUCCGUGUGGCUGCAGACACCCAGAGAGAGGGGAGGCUGGGGAGGCUGGGGAGCCGUGGCAGCCCGAUGCAGUGCGGGUCUCCAGGUGGAGGGGCCCUGGUCCCCUGGCGCCAGCGUGGCCCUUCCUCCUUGUGGAAACCCUUGUGGUGUGUGUGCUCUCUCGCCCUGACCCAGGAGAGCAGCAUGGCGGACCCCUGAUCUUGUGGCGUGCCACCGCGCGAGGCCGAGGAGCUCCCGCAGCCCAGUGGGCGUGGCGUCCUUGUCGCGGCUCUGUGGAGACCUGGCGAUGGAGAGCAGCAUGGCGGACCCCUGAUCUUGUGGCGUGCCACCGCGCGAGGCCGAGGAGCUCCCGCAGACCAGUGGGCGUGGCGUCCUUGUCGCGGCUCUGUGGAGACCUGGCGAUGGAGAGCAGCAUGGCGGACCCCUGAUCUUGUGGCGUGCCACCGCGCGAGGCCGAGGAGCUCCCGCAGACCAGUGGGCGUGGCGUCCUUGUCGCGGCUCUGUGGAGACCUGGCGAUGGUGAGCGGCCCCUGUCCUCAGUGGUGGAGAACUCGCCCUUGGGGCGCUCGUCUGUCCGGAGCCCCGGGCCAGCCCCGCUUCUCGCGGGCUUUGGCCCCGGCAGGCCAGCUCCGGGGGCGUGAGGGGGAGCGUCCCGUCCUGCCCAGUGGCUCGUCUGUCUGGGCACGCCCCCAAACGCUGCCGUGAUGGAGCGGGUGGGAUGUCCAGGUGCGGAGGCCGUGAAUUUGCCUUGCGGCGGCGGAGCCCGUGCUCGGAUCGAUGAUGACUCCCUCUAAAGCAUUCCUUGGAAAUCUGAACAAAAUGAGUGAGAACUCACUACCGUC
Molecule: long non-coding RNA, 1699 nt
Filed under: Sus scrofa (pig)
Lineage: Eukaryota; Metazoa; Chordata; Mammalia; Artiodactyla; Suidae
Description: lncRNA (ENSSSCG00070005519.1)
Rfam family: Small nucleolar RNA SNORD116 (bases 1629-1699)
Source: RNAcentral